Non-coding RNA from Meleagris gallopavo (turkey), 473 nucleotides. The record is from RefSeq and is a predicted model, not a curated record. NCBI's taxonomy places the organism in Eukaryota, Metazoa, Chordata, Aves, Galliformes, Phasianidae.
CCUCUGCUGAGCAAACCUCUUGCAUUUUACUGCGGGAUUAGUGCUGAGGUGCCUCUGCGCGCAGCACCUGUAUCUGCGACUCGUUAUCUUAAUCGCUCUGCUCCCGUCGCUCCUUUUCUCGAGGCGGUUGUGCCGUUCCCUCAGCUGAGGACCGCGUUCGUCAAGCAGCAGGCUGCUUUUGCAGCAGGGAUGGGAAUACCUGAGACUUGUGCUGAUGUCUCACAAGGUUAUCUGCCUAAGAAAAAUGACUUGAAACAGCCUGUUCUGAAGCCAUAGAAGCAGCAGUGACUUUUGAGUACAGCAUGCUGUCUUGCCUCAUAUGCACUCAUUACAUAAGUAUUUUAAGAGUGGAAAUUUUGUCGUUAAAUCUAGAACUGGUGACCACAGCAAAUUCCCAAUCGCUCCAGAUUGCCCCUAGUUCUCCCUUUCUGCCUUGCAUGUGAUCCAGCGCAAUAAAAGCAAAUUCAAGUACA